UCUCACCAAUGUUGCAUAAGUUCCUCAAGA
Molecule: non-coding RNA, 30 nt
Filed under: Homo sapiens (human)
Lineage: Eukaryota; Metazoa; Chordata; Mammalia; Primates; Hominidae
Source: RNAcentral